ACUCUGUACUGGGUAUUUGGGCAGUGGAGUCGCUGGAACAUGAGGUGCAACAAAAUGUUUCUCCCCUUCAUCUUCCUCCUCUCCCUGCGGCCGACUCUCCCGACUCACCCGCGCCAUCACCGCACUCACGACUUGGCGCUUGGGGA
Molecule: long non-coding RNA, 146 nt
Organism: Xenopus tropicalis (tropical clawed frog)
Lineage: Eukaryota; Metazoa; Chordata; Amphibia; Anura; Pipidae
Exons: 3
Source: RefSeq, a predicted model, not a curated record